CAUUGUAGCAUACAAGGCAUACGGCUCAGUAACGCGUAGUCAACCUAACCUAUGGACGGGAAUAACCUCGGGAAACUGAGAAUAAUGCCCGAUAGAACAUUAUGCCUGGAAUGGUUUAUGUUCCAAAUGAUUUAUCGCCGUAGGAUGGGACUGCGGCCUAUCAGUUUGUUGGUGAGGUAAUGGCCCACCAAGACUAUUACAGGUACGGGCUCUGAGAGGAGUAGCCCGGAGAUGGGUACUGAGACACGGACCCAGGCCCUAUGGGGCGCAGCAGGCGAGAAAACUUUGCAAUGUGCGAAAGCACGACAAGGUUAAUCCGAGUGGUUUCUGCUAAAGAAACCUUUUGUCAGUCCUAGAAACACUGAUGAAUAAGGGGUGGGCAAGUUCUGGUGUCAGCCGCCGCGGUAAAACCAGCACCUCAAGUGGUCAGGAUGAUUAUUGGGCCUAAAGCAUCCGUAGCCGGCUCUGUAAGUUUUCGGUUAAAUCUGUACGCUCAACGUACAGGCUGCCGGGAAUACUGCAGAGCUAGGGAGUGGGAGAGGUAGACGGUACUCGGUAGGAAGGGGUAAAAUCCUUUGAUCUAUUGAUGACCACCUGUGGCGAAGGCGGUCUACCAGAACACGUCCGACGGUGAGGGAUGAAAGCUGGGGGAGCAAACCGGAUUAGAUACCCGGGUAGUCCCAGCUGUAAACUAUGCAAACUCAGUGAUGCAUUGGCUUGUGGCCAAUGCAGUGCUGCAGGGAAGCCGUUAAGUUUGCCGCCUGGGAAGUACGUACGCAAGUAUGAAACUUAAAGGAAUUGGCGGGGGGAGCACCACAAGGGGGUGAAGCCUGCGGGUUCAAUUGGGAGUCAACGCCGGCG
RNAcentral lists this ribosomal RNA (861 nucleotides) under uncultured crenarchaeote. RNAcentral describes it as "bacterial SSU rRNA". It matches the Rfam family "Archaeal small subunit ribosomal RNA", at positions 60 to 923 of the family's 1478-position model. The record is from RNAcentral. Lineage: Archaea; Thermoproteati; Thermoproteota.